Molecule: ribosomal RNA, 483 nt
Filed under: uncultured bacterium
Lineage: Bacteria
Description: partial 16S ribosomal RNA
Rfam family: Bacterial small subunit ribosomal RNA
Source: RNAcentral
GACGAACGCUGGCGACGUGCUUAACACAUGCAAGUCGAACGCUGAAGCUCAGCUUUUGUUGGGUGGAUGAGUGGCGAACGGGUGAGUAACACGUGAGUAACCUGCCCCCUUCUUUGGGAUAACGCCCGGAAACGGGUGCUAAUACUGGAUAUUCACUGGUCUUCGCAUGGGGGUUGGUGGAAAGGGUUUUUCUGGUGGGGGAUGGGCUCGCGGCCUAUCAGCUUGUUGGUGGGGUGAUGGCCUACCAAGGCUUUGACGGGUAGCCGGCCUGAGAGGGUGACCGGUCACAUUGGGACUGAGAUACGGCCCAGACUCCUACGGGAGGCAGCAGUGGGGAAUAUUGCACAAUGGGCGCAAGCCUGAUGCAGCGACGCCGCGUGAGGGAUGGAGGCCUUCGGGUUGUGAACCUCUUUCGCUCAUGGUCAAGCCGCAACAAUGGUUGUGGUGAGGGUAGUGGGUAAAGAAGCGCCGGCUAACUACGUG